This 733-nucleotide ribosomal RNA is filed under the name uncultured bacterium. Its description in RNAcentral is "bacterial SSU rRNA". It matches the Rfam family "Bacterial small subunit ribosomal RNA", at positions 62 to 787 of the family's 1533-position model. The record is from RNAcentral.
UCGCACGAGAACGUUCUGGCUUUGCCAGGACAAGUACAGUGGCGGACGGGUGCGUAUCGCGUAGAUAACCUGCCCUCAGGCGCGGGACAAUCACGGGAAACCGUGGCUAAUACCGCACGUCGUCUGGACCCCGCAUGGGGACCAGAUGAAAGCCUUCGGGCGCCUUUGGAUGGGUCUGCGUUGGAUUAGCUUGUUGGUGAAGUAACGGCUCACCAAGGCAACGAUCCAUAGCUGGUCUGAGAGGACGAUCAGCCACACUGGGACUGAGACACGGCCCAGACUCCUACGGGAGGCAGCAGUGGGGAAUCUUGCACAAUGGGGUCACCCCUGAUGCAGCCAUGCCGCGUGGAGGAAGACACCCCUAUGGGGCGUAAACUCCUUUUCUGAAUGAAGAAACCCCUGUAGCUUCAGGGCGCGACGGUAGUUCAGGAAUAAGCACCGGCUAACUCCGUGCCAGCAGCCGCGGUAAUACGGAGGGUGCAAGCGUUGUCCGGAAUCACUGGGUGUAAAGGGUGUGCAGGCGGGGCAGCAAGUCGGAUGUGAAACCCCAUGGCUUAACCAUGGAGGUGCAUUCGAAACUGUUGCUCUUGAGUCCCGGAGAGGCUGUCGGAAUUCGUGGUGUAGCGGUGAAAUGCGUAGAUAUCACGAGGAAUACCAGAGGCGAAAGCGGACAGCUGGACGGGUACUGACGCUCAGGCACGAAAGCGUGGGGAGCAAACAGGAUUAGAUACCC